Molecule: long non-coding RNA, 605 nt
Organism: Lolium rigidum
Lineage: Eukaryota; Viridiplantae; Streptophyta; Magnoliopsida; Poales; Poaceae
Exons: 2
Source: RefSeq, a predicted model, not a curated record
ACAAUCUGUUUAACCUUUCUCUUCAUCUUUCCCUAUGAGCUCAUGUAGUGAGUGCUGCAGGAUGAUUUAGUUGUGAGCGGGGGACCUCGCAGCCCACAGUCGGCUUGCAGGGCACCCACAUAAGGAAGCGCAGAGGAAUGAUGAUUUAUCGAGCUGCAUCAUUUUGAGACAACCGAAAAGAUUGGAACUGUCACACCAAUUUUAUUCUUUUAACAAGGAGGCCUGGAGGGGGGCUUGCUUUCUCUGCUGCAGUUCCACAGUGAACGUACGGAAGCUCACUCUUUCUUAGGACCAGCGAUACAGUGCUAACAAUCUGUGUGUGAUGGCGAAAAACUGCUACGAAAACCAUCUUCGAACGGUACUAAAGUCACUGAAUGUGUUGCCAAGAUAAAUUUCCCAGCAUAUGUUAUUACUUUUCCUUCUGAGGAUGUUCGCACCUUUUUGUCAGGAAAUCCAGUUAUGGUGUGAUCUGUAUAGCUGUUAAGUUUUCUUAUUACCUGCAAGUUGUGAUUUGUGGCCUGUGGAGUGACAGGCAGUUCCAAAGGAGUUUUCGACUAAUGUACAUGUUGAUGUGUUGGAACAGUACGGAUGAAUUUGGUUCUUCA